AACGAACGCUGGCGGUAUGCCUAACACAUGCAAGUCGAACGGCAGCUCCGUAUCUGCUGGCUCACAGGGGCGUAACGCGGGGGACGGUGCCGGAAUACUUGGGAUUCUACUUCGUAGGGGGGGCUAAUGUCGGGAAACUUCCGCGGAUCACAGAUUUAACGUCUUUGGAUGGGCACGCGUUGGAUUAGCCUGUCGGUAGUGAAAAAGCCUAUCAAGGAGACGAUCCAUAGCUGGUCUGAGAGGAUGAUCAGCCACACUGGGACUGAGACACGGCCCAGACUCCUACGGGAGGCAGCAGUGGGGAAUAUUGGACAAUGGGCGAAAGCCUGAUCCAGCAAGGCCGCGUGAGUGAUGAAGGCCUUAGGGUUGUAAAGCUCUUUUACCCGGGAUGAUAAUGACAGUACCGGGAGAAUAAGCGCCGGCUAACUCCGUG
Molecule: ribosomal RNA, 433 nt
Filed under: uncultured bacterium
Lineage: Bacteria
Description: partial 16S ribosomal RNA
Rfam family: Bacterial small subunit ribosomal RNA
Source: RNAcentral